UACGGAAGGCAGCAGUGGGGAAUAUUGGACAAUGGGCGCAAGCCUGAUCCAGCCAUGCCGCGUGUGUGAAGAAGGCCUUUUUGGUUGUAAAGCACUUUAAGCGAGGAGGAGGCUCUCUUAGUUAAUACCUAAGAUGAGUGGACGUUACUCGCAGAAUAAGCACCGGCUAACUCUGUGCCAGCAGCCGCGGUAAUACAGAGGGUGCGAGCGUUAAUCGGAUUUUACUGGGCGUAAAGCGUGCGUAGGCGGCUUUUUUAAGUCGGAUGUGAAAUCCCCGAGCUUAACUUGGGAAUUGCAUUCGAUACUGGGAAGCUAGAGUAUGGGAGAGGAUGGUAGAAUUCCAGGUGUAGCGGUGAAAUGCGUAGAGAUCUGGAGGAAUACCGAUGGGCGAAGGCAGCCAUCUGGGCCUAAUACUGACGCUGAGGUACGAAAGCAUGGGGAGCAAACAGGAUUAGAUACC
RNAcentral lists this ribosomal RNA (460 nucleotides) under uncultured bacterium. RNAcentral's name for it is "bacterial SSU rRNA". It matches the Rfam family "Bacterial small subunit ribosomal RNA", at positions 340 to 786 of the family's 1533-position model. The record is from RNAcentral.